AAAAUGACUGCCAAAAAGUUUAUAAGCUGCAACAUUUUAAGUAAAUUUUAUUAUUAAUGAAUACACAGAAAUUGAAAGUAAACUCAUGGCUUCAACCUUUAUACCAAACCUCCACUCAAGAGAGCAGCAUGGUUUCCAGCGAUGGUUAAACAUUUCCACCAAGAAGCCUUAGUGAAAUUGGAAAGUAAUUGGAAGACAAAACAGAAAGAAAAGGAACCUGACAUCAAAAUAGAGAUUUUGUAACGGCUUAAGAACAGAGACCAGUUUGGAAGAUCAAGAGCCAUUAGGUUACAGAACUGUGAGUGAAUGUCACAUGCAUUUUAACUAGUAUUCCUUCAUUGUUUGAAGAACAAGUGUUCAGACAAUUCAUUCCUCAUGUCACAGAAUGGGCUAUAGAUGAUGAUAGGAUUCUCUCCUGGACCACGCUCUGGUCAUACUCCUCUGAGAUCCCUUUUUGAUUAGGCCCCAACUUGGGUUCUGUUCUUGGCCUAGUUAGUUCAAUUAGGCAAGAAUUCUGCUGGUUCAGUUUAACGAAAAUCCCUUAUCUUUGAUAUCUAAUCAAAUUUCUUAUCCCCCCCACAUUCAGUAUCUUAUCACCCUGGCUGCAUUCAGCAAGAAUUUUGCUAAGUCAGUUUAGCCAGAAUCCCUUCGAGGUUUCCUCUCUAGUAAUUUUCCACCCACUGACCAUCACUUAUCCAAAAUCCCCACUUAUCCUGGUAUUCAGAAUGCAGCCCCGUUCUAUACUGAGGUCUCUCUGUCCCCAGUGCAAUAGUUCCUGAAUAAAAUUUGCCUUCACUGCUUUAACUUAUGUCCAGCUCUGCUUUUCUUUCACAGUGCCAGCUUCUGUUCACAACCCAGCUUCCAGUUAACAGUUUGCCCAAGUGAAUUUUUAAAUACUGUCAGAGCAGUACAAUGUUGGAUAAAGAGCAU
This 930-nucleotide long non-coding RNA is filed under the name Homo sapiens (human). RNAcentral's name for it is "HSALNT0323716". Lineage: Eukaryota; Metazoa; Chordata; Mammalia; Primates; Hominidae. The record is from RNAcentral.